GCCAGAAAUGGUUGUAGGUUGGUAUCACUCACAUCCUGGCUUCGGAUGCUGGCUAUCAGGCGUCGAUAUCAAUACUCAGCAGAGUUUUGAAGCUUUGAACCCCAGAGUCGUUGCUGUUGUGAUAGACCCCAUCCAGAAGAGGACGAUCGAUUUUCGAUUUUGGCUGUUGAAUCCGUAUGGGCUAUGGUCGCCGAGGCACUCGCAGUCGGACAUGUCUUCAUCGGAGAUGGAGUUUGGUACAGCGCGCCAGUACGACACCACCGACCUCUUCUUCCAGGAGGACUGGCUCUACGACGAUCACCUCUUCCCUAGCAAGUUGGACGAUGAGGACGACGAACGCAAGGAGGACAAGUUUGUACUGGAUGCUCACGGUGGUGCCUCAGCGCAGACAGAAAUAGGCAAGCUCGGUGCAGGCCAUAACCACCGUCAUGAACACAUCAGUGGUGACCGAUGUGAGGGUUGCGCUGAGGUGUACACAUGCUCAUCGCCACUCUGCGGUUGCUGUGGAGAGGGACUCAAGAAUGACGGCCUUGAUGUGGCCAGGAGCUCAAGCUCUACUGUGUAUGGGAGAUACCAGAUCAUGGAUGAUCGGACAGAGAUAAUGGAUGAUUGUGCGCAGGAUGGGUUUCAAUUGAAGCAGAGUGGAGAUAUUAUGUUUGAAUGUGGUAUGCAGAGGGAUCCUGGACGAGGAGAUGAUGAUUCAGACCUGAGUGUUGUGGAGAAGGAGCUUCAAAUGCUCAGUUCAUUUGAUACUGAUGCUGUUACGAAUCACGGUGUACAUGAUUUCACGGACAACGGUGAGCUCAAUGGCAUCUGUGACAAAAAUCUGAAAAGCAACAUUGAUAAAGAAUAUCUGAAAGGUCAUAGGAUACAGCCAUUCCCUAAAAUUGGUGAUCCUGAUGAAGCAUAUGAGUUUUGAAAUGUAGGAUCAUUAAAUGCAGAUGUUCAACAUUCU
RNA transcript from Zea mays, 955 nucleotides. It is a transcript of the gene named protein-like pseudogene, with no coding region annotated. The transcript has 4 exons. The record is from RefSeq and is marked validated. NCBI's taxonomy places the organism in Eukaryota, Viridiplantae, Streptophyta, Magnoliopsida, Poales, Poaceae.